This 497-nucleotide ribosomal RNA is filed under the name uncultured bacterium. RNAcentral describes it as "partial 16S ribosomal RNA". It matches the Rfam family "Bacterial small subunit ribosomal RNA", at positions 28 to 507 of the family's 1533-position model. The record is from RNAcentral.
GACGAACGCUGGCGGCGUGCCUAAUACAUGCAAGUUGAGCGAUGAAGAUUGGUGCUUGCACCAAUUUGAAGAGCAGCGGACGGGUGAGUCACGCGUGGGGAAUCUGCCUUUGAGCGGGGGACAACAUUUGGAAACGAAUGCUAAUACCGCAUAACAACUUUAAACAUAAGUUUUAAGUUUGAAAGAUGCAAUUGCAUCACUCAAAGAUGAUCCCGCGUUGUAUUAGCUAGUUGGUGAGGAAAAGGCUCACCCAGGCGAUGAUACAUAGCCGACCUGAGAGGGUGAUCCGCCAAAAUGGGAACGAGACACGGCCCCAACUCCUUCGGGGAGCAGCAGUAGGGGAUCUUCGGCAAUGGACGAAAGUCUGACCGAGCAACGCCGGGUGAGUGAAGAAGGUUUUCGGAACGUAAAACUCUGUUGGUAGAGAAGAACGUUGGGGAGAGUGGAAAGCUCAUCAAGUGACGGUAACUACCCAGAAAGGGACGGCUAACUACGUG